UGACAAUGUAAUGUUUUAAAUGGCGACAGAAGAACAUAAAUAUUUAGCAGAUAUUAUAAAAAAUACACAUGCCACGUUGCGACAAGAAGCUCAGGAUUACGGUCCUGAGAUUGCAUGGAAACGACACAUAUGUCGUAAAGACAUUCUGCAGAAAUAUGCUUCUUGUAUGGUAAAAUUGGCAACUAUCCACUGGAUGGAAAAUAACUUAAACACCAAGAGUUCAACGUAUUCGAGAAUAGAAUGGAUCAAAUAUCAAUGUGAAGAAUAUUUUUUAAACGAAGGAAGACAGAAAUAUGAUUUGAGAGAAGAAGAUAUUAAACUGAAAAUAGACACAAAUUUGUCAAAAACUGAAGUUGCCAUAAAUUGUACUGUAAAUAUUAAAUGUCAGGAAAAUCAAAUAUUGGAAAACUUCGAUAACGAUCUUCAGAAGUCAGUUCAAAAGAUAUUAUUAUUGGAUGUAGGCAGUUGUUAUAAUCCAUUUGAAGCUCUAGAUAUAUUUGAAGUAACUGCAAUAGAUCUAAGUGGUAUACCAGAUAAAGUUUUUUGUUGUGACUUUUUAAAUGUUCAAAUCGGACAAGACACAUUAUAUUCAAACGAUAAAGAAGAAAUUUUGCAAUUGCCUGAAAACUAUUUUCAGGUAGUUGUAUUUUCUUUAUUUUUGGAAUAUUUACCCUGCCCAAAACAAAGAUAUUUAUGUUGUAAAAAAGCCUAUGAUUUAUUGCAACCAGGUGGUAUACUUUUUAUCAUAAGCCCUGAUUCAAAACAUGUUAAUGCAAAUGCCAAGAUCAUAAAAUCAUGGAGAUACGUCCUGAGUAAAUUAGGAUUUAUGAGAAUAAAAUACGAAAAAUUGCAACAUAUACAUUGCAUAAUAUUCAGAAAAUGUGUGUUUAAACAUGUUGCAUCAAGGUGGGCGAAUUUACAAGUACUGCCGCAGGAUGAUCCUUUAUUUUUAGAUGAUACUUCAAUUUAUAUUCCGCAAGAUUUCCGAGAUGUAUCUAACAAAAUUAAAGAACGAGAUAAACAAGAGUACGAUACGAAUGAAGUAAUGACUAUGUUCAAUGAAUUACCUUUUGAGCAAAUGUAACACAAGCAAGAUUAACGAUUGUGUCAUGUUAAUUCUAGCGACGGAAAUAUUUUAUGAUCGUUCAAAAUGUCGUCCCAUUUAAAUUGGAUGAUUAUUCGCAAUAAUAAUGCAUUCCUUUUGAAGAAACGUAACAUUAAUAAACCAUUUUCUACGG
Molecule: RNA transcript, 1238 nt
Organism: Bombus huntii
Lineage: Eukaryota; Metazoa; Arthropoda; Insecta; Hymenoptera; Apidae
Gene: Samtor
Gene name: S-adenosylmethionine sensor upstream of mTORC1
Exons: 4
Source: RefSeq, a predicted model, not a curated record